AGAGUUUGAUCAUGGCUCAGGACGAACGCUGGCGGCGUGCCUAAUACAUGCAAGUUGAGCGAUGAAGAUUGGUGCUUGCACCAAUUUGAAGAGCAGCGAACGGGUGAGUAACGCGUGGGGAAUCUGCCUUUGAGCGGGGGACAACAUUUGGAAACGAAUGCUAAUACCGCAUAACAACUUUAAACAUAAGUUUUAAGUUUGAAAGAUGCAAUUGCAUCACUCAAAGAUGAUCCCGCGUUGUAUUAGCUAGUUGGUGAGGUAAAGGCUCACCAAGGCGAUGAUACAUAGCCGACCUGAGAGGGUGAUCGGCCACAUUGGGACUGAGACACGGCCCAAACUCCUACGGGAGGCAGCAGUAGGGAAUCUUCGGCAAUGGACGAAAGUCUGACCGAGCAACGCCGCGUGAGUGAAGAAGGUUUUCGGAUCGUAAAACUCUGUUGGUAGAGAAGAACGUUGGUGAGAGUGGAAAGCUCAUCAAGUGACGGUAACUACCCAGAAAGGGACGGCUAACUACGUGCCAGCAGCCGCGGUAAUACGUAGGUCCCGAGCGUUGUCCGGAUUUAUUGGGCGUAAAGCGAGCGCAGGUGGUUUAUUAAGUCUGGUGUAAAAGGCAGUGGCUCAACCAUUGUAUGCAUUGGAAACUGGUAGACUUGAGUGCAGGAGAGGAGAGUGGAAUUCCAUGUGUAGCGGUGAAAUGCGUAGAUAUAUGGAGGAACACCGGUGGCGAAAGCGGCUCUCUGGCCUGUAACUGACACUGANGCUCGAAAGCGUGGGGAGCAAACAGGAUUAGAUACCCUGGUAG
RNAcentral lists this ribosomal RNA (802 nucleotides) under uncultured marine microorganism. RNAcentral's name for it is "bacterial SSU rRNA". It matches the Rfam family "Bacterial small subunit ribosomal RNA", at positions 8 to 793 of the family's 1533-position model. The record is from RNAcentral.